RNAcentral lists this transfer RNA (77 nucleotides) under Sphaerodactylus townsendi. Its description in RNAcentral is "tRNA-Val". Lineage: Eukaryota; Metazoa; Chordata; Lepidosauria; Squamata; Sphaerodactylidae. The record is from RNAcentral.
GCCAAGGGGCUUUGGCUUAGCAGCAGAGCAUCCGCUUCACGUGCGGAAGGUCCCAGGUUCAAUCCUCGGCUUCCGUU